CAUGCGCUGCUCUCUUGUUCUCUGGUCUCUUCACUCUUUCUCUCUGCUCUACACGCUUACGGAGCGUGCCCUGUCUCCCAGCAACGCCCUAAGAAGUCCGGCACGGCUUGCCGUGAAGAUUUUUGUUCUUCAAGCCACACACACGAAGGGUCGCGACUUUGGCUUUUCCCUUGUUUCCAGCAACUUUCUUGCUUAUAUUUUCUUUAGUUUUGUUUGUUAAAAUUUAUCAGACAGUCGCGCAGCUUUGAAUUCAAGAACGACCAAGUUCUUUUAAGCUUUAUUGUAGUCGAGUGAAUUUAUACUUCUCCAAAGUUCGGACCCAGCCACGUGUGUCCGUUACACCAGCAGUAACGGAAAGGACAUCAAAACCCACAACUAAAGCCAGUUAACAGCCUACCACUGCAAGUUUUCUUCAAACCAAGCCAAAGGGCGGAUCUCCGGAGCAAUUCCCUGGCAGAGAAAGCGACUGGCCGACGGCCGUCUCAACCGAGAACGCAUGCAACUCAGCCAGCGUGAGACCGGCCGAACACCAACCGGCUGGAGAAACAACAAGCAGAUCAUCACCUGCUCCUCUGCCUCACGUUUGCCUUCUGCUGGACAGCCAGACAUGCGUCCCCCAUUCGCCAUUCCCCACGUCAUCUCGUCUGACAUUAUUCACAAACUUCCUUCAGAUGCCUUCAGAUCUCCAACCCUAUAGUCAUCUUUCGUUCAUCUACUGCCCCUACACCAUCACAACACUGUGGGCACAAUGCACUAUUUUUCACCUACUACCUCUAUGAUCCCAAAGAGGUGAUAAAGCAGUUAAACUCCUCCACCUGAUUCUUUGAGCCACAAUUUUUUUUCAAAGAACCUCUUACACCCAUCUGUGAUAAGCAACUACAGACCAAUCUCCAAUAUCCCUUUUCCUAGUAAAAUAUUUGAAAAGGAUGUCUACAAACAACUGCAUAAUUACCUGUCCCUCCACAAUCUAUACGAUGUGUAUCAACCUGGCUUCAGGACUAACCGCAGCACUGAAACAGCUUUGAAGCAUUCAGUGAUCGAAAGAUCAACAAUGCUGCAAACAAACCUUCUAUCCUAGUAUUUCUAGAAUGGACUGCAGCCUUAGAUACUGUCAACCACAGCAUUUUAAUCAGUAAACUAUAAAAUUAAUUUGGGCAAUGUGGCCGUGUCUUAAAGUGGCUCUCUUCCUAUCUAACUGGCAGGACAUUCUCUGUGUCUCCUGCCAACUUUUAAACUGGCAAUUAUGACAUUUUAUUUGAGGUCCCACAAGGCUCAGUUGUGUAUUUCACUUUCACAUGAUAUCCUCAGCCCUAUUAAUGACCUUGACGGCUGUAUCAGUGACAUCAAGUACUGGAUGAUGAAAAACUUUUUGCAGUAAAAAAAAGGCUGCGAUCCUGUUGGAGAAAACCAUAUUACCAUUAUGACCUUACUGCUGUUUACAUUCUCCCUGACACAAAUUAAAAAAAUGCACUGGACAAUGACUUCCUGGGUGUAUAUGUGUAUGCAUAUUUGUAAAGUAAUAACUGUAUAAGCUAUGUUGUAUGUUACCAUAUUCAAAUGUAUAUCUAACUAUCUGUUAUGUUCUGUGUGUGUAGCAGAGGGAGACUACAAACUUUCCUGCCCUAUGGAAUAAAGUUCCUGAGUUUUGUCUCCA
Micropterus dolomieu (smallmouth bass) is the source of this 1654-nucleotide long non-coding RNA. RefSeq lists it as uncharacterized. The transcript has 2 exons. The record is from RefSeq and is a predicted model, not a curated record. Lineage: Eukaryota; Metazoa; Chordata; Actinopteri; Centrarchiformes; Centrarchidae.